Long non-coding RNA from Alosa alosa (allis shad), 1082 nucleotides. RefSeq lists it as uncharacterized. Lineage: Eukaryota; Metazoa; Chordata; Actinopteri; Clupeiformes; Clupeidae. The transcript is spliced from 4 exons. The record is from RefSeq and is a predicted model, not a curated record.
AACUAAUGUCGGCAACAGACAAAUAACUAUUAUAUAUAGCAAGCUACCGCUAGUUAGCCAAAUCCCACUCAAUCAGUCUGUCAGUUUAAGCAGCAUACAAGUGCUAAUGGAAAUGUAGUGUGUGGAUGGAAAUAAAUAACAACACUCAACAUACUUUUGAAGACAUUUUGUUUCAAGUUUGUAACAAAUGCGGUCAAAGUUUUAAGGGAGUUUGUCAGUCGGUCAUAAGGUAGGCUCAGCAAAACGAGGGAGGCGGCUAGCAUUAUUAUCAAGAGGUGUGCUAACCAUUAGGCCUUGUAUGCCAGGUCUACCUCCAGAUUGUGAGGUGCUACUUUGGACUUGACGAACUCUUAUAGUAGGCAACAGAAACUCUUUACUGCAGAAAAACCGUAGUAGGUUUGAUGCUCAACAGAUUGCUCUGGAGUUAGUUAUAAGUUAAUAAUAAGUAUCCAUUGAUAUGUGUGACAAAACAUACCAACUGGUGUCAACAUCAGCUAGGCUAUGUUGGCAUUUUCUGAUGGUUCUUCAUGACUGAUCAUAAGGUACAAAAUAAAUAAUACAGAAAUACAGUGCUGGGCAUUGGUAGACAAUCAUAUUAAUCUGUCUAUGUAUCUAUUUCUUCUGUGUAAGCAGUUUCUUAUGGAUCCCCAGUUGCUGCCUCCUUCUGAAGCACAGGUUAUUAGAGAGGCUGAAAACCAGACUGGAACAGGCUCUUCAAAGGCAGCCUCUGGACCUGGACUAUUUAGAGUUCCUCUGUACCAGUGAGUUGAGCCUAGUUCACUGAGUACUUUCAUGCCAUUUCCAGAAGAGGUCAUAGGCAGACGGGAAAAGCAGGCCUUAAAAGAGGGCUACAGGAUACUGGGGUGCUCCCAAUGAUAACAGAACGGCCAGAACUGGCUAGAGUUCUGUUCCCACAAGGUGUCUCAUCUCUGAUGGAUCCUAAGAUGAAUUUGAAGAGUGGUUUGACCAGAUGAGGCGGAGGUUGACGAAGAUGAAAUGGAAGACUGCCGUGUCACAGCCUACCUCAGACAAUACGUUGCCGUGCCUACCUCAGACAAUACGCUGCCGUGCCUACCUCAGAC